Molecule: RNase P RNA, 406 nt
Filed under: Stygiobacter sp. RIFOXYB2_FULL_37_11
Lineage: Bacteria; Pseudomonadati; Ignavibacteriota; Ignavibacteria; Ignavibacteriales; Melioribacteraceae
Description: Ignavibacteria bacterium RIFOXYB2_FULL_37_11 RNase P RNA component class A
Rfam family: Bacterial RNase P class A
About the family: Ribonuclease P (RNase P) is a ubiquitous endoribonuclease, found in archaea, bacteria and eukarya as well as chloroplasts and mitochondria. Its best characterised activity is the generation of mature 5'-ends of tRNAs by cleaving the 5'-leader elements of precursor-tRNAs.
Source: RNAcentral
GCAAGGAAGUGAGGCAAUCGCCCCGCCAGCUGGCGGGGAGGAAAGUCCGGACAUUCCCUCCGCUUAAAGCGGAGGAGCAAGGUAGCGGGUAAUUCCCGCACGCCGCGAGGCGAGAGGUGCGAGCAGAGACGCUUUAGUUUGAAAGAACUAAAGUAUCCGUUGUCUAACGGAUAAGCUUUGAUGGCAACAUCAGAGGUGAAACGGCUAAACCCUUACCCGGAUGCAAGAUCAAAUCCUUCGACAGGCUCAGGACAAGCCUAUGAAUUAAUUUUUUAUAAGCUUGUUCCGAGCCUGUCGAGGAAAAAAGUAGAUCGCUUGAGCCCAUCAGCAAUGUUGGGCCCAGAUAGAUGGUUGCCGCUCCGCUUAGGCGGAGGCACAGAAUCCGGCUUACGGCUUGCUUGCUCCA